CGCUGGGUUAGGGAGUCAGUGCACUGCUAGCUCCGCUAUCAUACAGGCAACACGACGGAGUGCGGGGUCUGAACGGUAUUCCAACAGGACUCUUCUCCCCCGAUAGAUGCGUUGUACACCAAGACUAAGAUAUGACCAGCGAUGUUGUUACUGGCGGCUCCACGGCCAAGAGGAAGAUUGCGUUUGCUUUGUUCCUGAUCGUGAGUCUGGCUGUAUCACUUACUGUGGGGAUCGUCCUAUAUUUCGACAAGGACAAGAACAACGCAAAACCAUUGGAUUUCAGGCUAGGCAAGCGUUCUGAUGUCAUCGUUGAUUGUCAUCCAGAGUCUGACGGUACAGAGGAGAAGUGCAAGGAAAGAGGCUGUUUAUGGUCUCCGGUAUCUGACAAGGGCGCCCCC
Molecule: long non-coding RNA, 398 nt
Organism: Haliotis rubra (blacklip abalone)
Lineage: Eukaryota; Metazoa; Mollusca; Gastropoda; Lepetellida; Haliotidae
Exons: 4
Source: RefSeq, a predicted model, not a curated record